UACGGAGGGGGCUAGCGUUGUUCGGAAUUACUGGGCGUAAAGCGCACGUAGGCGGUGGCGCAUGUCAGAUGUGAAAGCCCCGGGCUUAACCUGGGAAUUGCAUUUGAAACUGCGUCGCUAGAGGCCGGAAGAGGGUAGUGGAAUUCCCAGUGUAGAGGUGAAAUUCGUAGAUAUUGGGAAGAACACCGGUGGCGAAGGCGGCUACCUGGUCCGGUUCUGACGCUGAGGUGCGAAAGCGUGGGGAGCAAACAGG
This 253-nucleotide unclassified non-coding RNA is filed under the name uncultured Alphaproteobacteria bacterium. RNAcentral describes it as "contains 16S-23S intergenic spacer region". It matches the Rfam family "Bacterial small subunit ribosomal RNA", at positions 524 to 776 of the family's 1533-position model. The record is from RNAcentral. Lineage: Bacteria; Pseudomonadati; Pseudomonadota; Alphaproteobacteria.